RNAcentral lists this ribosomal RNA (424 nucleotides) under Verrucomicrobiota bacterium. RNAcentral's name for it is "Verrucomicrobia bacterium partial 16S ribosomal RNA". It matches the Rfam family "Bacterial small subunit ribosomal RNA", at positions 355 to 776 of the family's 1533-position model. Lineage: Bacteria; Pseudomonadati; Verrucomicrobiota. The record is from RNAcentral.
UGAGGAAUAUUGGUCAAUGGGCGAGAGCCUGAACCAGCCAAGUAGCGUGCAGGAAGACGGCCCUAUGGGUUGUAAACUGUUUUUAUGUGGGGAUAAAGUGCGUGACGUGUCAUGCAUUGCAGGUACCACAUGAAUAAGGACCGGCUAAUUCCGUGCCAGCAGCCGCGGUAAUACGGAAGGUCCGGGCGUUAUCCGGAUUUAUUGGGUUUAAAGGGAGCGUAGGCUGUCUAUUAAGCGUGUUGUGAAAUAUACCGGCUCAACCGGUGGCUUGCAGCGCGAACUGGUCGACUUGAGUAAGCAGGAAGUAGGCGGAAUUCAUGGUGUAGCGGUGAAAUGCUUAUAUAUCAUGACGAACUCCGAUUGCGCAGGCAGCUUACUGUAGCAUAACUGACGCUGAUGCUCGAAAGUGCGGGUAUCAAACAGG